Passer montanus (Eurasian tree sparrow) is the source of this 5622-nucleotide long non-coding RNA. RefSeq lists it as uncharacterized. The transcript has 9 exons. Lineage: Eukaryota; Metazoa; Chordata; Aves; Passeriformes; Passeridae. The record is from RefSeq and is a predicted model, not a curated record.
CACGCCUCGCGCCCGCUUCCCCCCGCCGCCCCAAACUCCUUCCUCAGGACCGUGGGAUGCGGGUGAGCUCUGGUGAGAGUUGCCGGUCUCCAUUUCUAAGCGGGGAGCCGCCGGGAGCGACCGACCCUUCUGCCCCACCCCACUCCCCCGCAUCCCGGGUGUAACCGGAUGGCAAAAAUCAAAGCUGGCUCCAAUUUACCCCAGUUGUCUUCCUUUGAACACUCAUAAGGCAUCUGCCCCUGAUUUUAAUCCAAAGGAGCUGCUUUUGGAACUGGCGUGUCCGGCUUUGGUGUGUGCCUGCUGAGGAAGAGACCCACUCUUCUCCAGUCUUGGUAUGUGGAUUUCUCUCUCUCCAAGUAAUUCCUUAGCAUACCCUUGAAUGGCAUCUACCACACUAGAUAACUUUUUCAAUCCACAAGGCUGAAACAACUUUCCUUAACUGAAAUGACUCCAGCACCGCUAUUCACUAGAAGACAUCCUCCUUGAUUUCUUGGGGGGCCCAUAAGAUGACUGAAGUUGUAGACAUGGACAAAACCUAAUUUGGAGCUACCAGCAUCCCCAAAGAUGUCAGAAAGGGCAUUCACCUGUACCCCCUUCCUGAUGAAACAUGCUGGAGCCCCACAUUUACCUGCUGUUCAUCCAGGACCAAGUGUGCAUGCAGCACCUGAAUUUUGUGAUCUCCUGCAUACUGUACCUCUCACUUCCACCCCUUUGCAAAUGAUGCACUUGAUGGCUGCAGAGGGUGAGGAUCUUGCUCUUGUGUCAUGGCUUGGCAUUAUGGCUUCAUCAGGAUAUUAGAAAAGGCUCAGGGAAAACAGUUACAGCUAUUCUAUCACCUGAGACACUUCCGGCAGCUCCCGCCUUUCCUUAGAAUUACCAAUCCAAGUGGUGACCCUGCCUGACCCUACUUAUCUUGUAAAACCUGACAAGAUCACAGCCUGAAGCAGUAUAGCCACAGGCUCAAUACUGCCUACCAAAGUGUCUGUUUAGUAUUUUCAAGAACGUUGCUCUAAAGAUUUACAAUACCAGACACUAGAUAUAUGGACAACACCAACACACAGCUCUGACCCCUGAACAUUCAGCCCCAUUUAUAAAGAAAUUUGUGUCUCUCAAGGGGCCAACACUGAGCUGCUACGAACUAGCGAUUCCCUACCUGCAAGCAAGUGGAUUUUAAGUACAAUUUGAUUAUAUAUACCAAGACAUUGGGUAAAAGUAUUUGAAAACUAUGGCCUUGAAUUCAGAAUUCAUGGUUCGUUUUUUUCAUUGGUUGCAUUACUACUUUAGCAAUAGAAAGGUCUCUGCCAUUUCUGUGUAAUAUAUAGAAUUUACUUUUAGUUUGGUGUAGAGAAUUUUCUUCACUCUUCCAUGACCAAAGCAGGUUUUCAUUAGAAGGUAUUUUUAGAUGAACUGUAAGUUUCCUCCCCAGCAAAAAUUUUAGCUGCACCAAGUGAAAGCAAAUGCACAUUUCCUCAGAUAUCUCUAAAGAUAAACACAGGUUUAAAUAUACAAAAAAAUUUAAGGGUUUAGUUGCAUAUGGGUUCAUACACCGGAUGGAUUAAGUUCUUGCAAAGUUGUGUGGGCUUUUUCCCCUCUUCUUUUUAGAACAGCAAAGACUUGGAACAGACAUUGAGGUCCUAUUGCUCCUGUCGGAAACUUCUGUUGACGCAGCAUGAAUUGGAUGGGACCCAGAGAAACCAAAUACAGACAAGUAAUGAUGAGUUGGCCAUACAAGCAAGGAAAAUCACAGAUAACAGGAAUGUUUCGGCUACCUUCAUCCUCAUCCGAUGAUGCUUAAGGAACUCAGCUGGCUCGAUCUUCUGUGCACCAGCAGGGACUUCUUUAAAUGGGAUGAAGAUGCUGCAGUAUGUGUUUUCUGAGGAAAAGGAAGCUUCUCCCCUCACCUCCUUUACCAGACAAGUGUGUGAUUUCCAGUUCUCUUCAAUAUCUUCUGUGGUAGCUGUUAGAGAAUGUUGACGCCAGCAAGUGGCUAUGACACUUGAAGAGGGGAUUGUAGAGUGCUGAAGAGGAUUUUCAAGAGUGAUACACUCCUCACUCUGCUGAGAGCAUAUUCAGAAAGCCAGUGGGUCCUUUGGAGCCUGCAUCUGCUUCCUUGGUUUGGAAAUUUGGUCCCUGAAACAAAGGGAUGCCAAAUGUCCAGGGCUCAAGCAGAUGGGAGACACUCAAAGAGAGAUUGUGGGGCAGCUGUGGGGUGUAGAGGGGAUACAUGCUUUGAGAUGACACCAGAUAGUCUAGAGCCUGACUCUACCUUGUUAUUAAAAAAAGAGGCCUUUUAUAAGGCCAUACUAUGCAUACUAUGUUACAAAGGGAAAACUUUAUCUAAGCAGAAUGGUAGAUAAUAUGUUUCUAUAAAGAUUUCAUAAAGGUAAAGUGAAUUUCACUCAUUUAAAAAAGACUGUGUUACCACUAUUUCUAUAUAUAUGAACAAGCCAUACUGGUGUUGAAACCACAUAAGAAAAAAAUCAGGCCAACUUCAAAACUACACUUGGGAUCCAAAUAACACCACUGGGAGGAUUUAGCAUAAUAAGUUUACCUGAGGUUGGAACUUGUGUUUGCAGUUGCGUGCCAAAUGUGGUUUAAGCUCUAAGAAAGGGCUAAGAUUUGUCAUCUGAUAUUCAUGAAAAACAAAGGAAGACUUUUUAAUUUUGGUUUAUUUUUAAAAAAAUGCCAGCCUCAGAUUGUUGGGAAAGCUUCAGUAGAAUAAUUUCUUAAUCACCUUUAUGUUCUCAGGCAUAGCUGGCCUUCAAAGUCCAUAUUAAAACUCCCCACUGAUUUCCUUAGGAUUAUGCCCCUCAGAAUGGAUGACAGAAGAAACAAAUACUCAUCAGGCCUCAGCCAUUGCCUGGCAAUCCCAAGGGAUAUGCCCCUCUGAUCCCCACAAGGAAAUCCUCAGACACCAUUUUACAGGAUAAGGAAAAUCUCUUCUUUCCCAAGGAUGACAGAGAGAAAGACAGACCAUGUGAGGCGGGAUGUGCCACUCCCUUUUUGAGACAAAGAGAAUGCACUAGCACACGAGCAGCCAAGGGAAGGGAAGCCAGCAGAAGGCUUUUGUAAAAGGCUAGGAUAGUUGGUGUGGAUGCUUCAAUGUAAACAGAUACAAAAGUGUUAAUGAAAUAAUGUGAAAAUCCUAAUUUUAGAGUGCAACAAAAUGUCAACAUUCUUUUUACCUUUUUACAUACUUUAACACUUAUGCAGGUGACUCCAGAGAUAAUUUUGAUUUGAAAAAUAUAUUUUUUAAACAAUACGAGAUAUUUGUUUGCUUUUUUGAAUUUGAGAGUGAAGUGAGUGUUAUACAGGUGUGACUCUUGGGGAUGGCACUAAACAGGGACAGGAGCUGGACUCAGUGGUCAUUGUGGAUCCCUUCCAACUCAGCAUAUUCUGUGAUUCUGAAGUUUUAUGAUAUUUUUUAAUCAAAUAUACAAAUGCUACAUGAAAGAAAUAAUAUUCUCAUUCAUACUUGCAUUAUACAGGUUGUAUUCUGUGUAGUUUUGGCGAAUUACUAUUAUAUCAAAUUGCUAUUGGUAUUGGAACAGAGUCUGAGAUUGCUUUGCUUUGUAGUCUCCACUUAGUCACAGUCAUAGAGACUCUGCUUCUAAAAUCUGUUGAAUAUACUCCAAUUCUAAUGAUAAAGUUAUGGCAUAUUGACUUGCUUUAUUUUAUAGUACUUAAGCCAGCUAAUUCAUCACUGAAAGCUUCUAUUAAAAAGAAUUUUUUUGUUUUGUUUUGUUUUGUUAUGUUAUGUUAAUGAACUCACCUUUGGUCGUUAGACCAUUCUAUCUGUCCUGUUUCAGCAGAUAUGUCCCAUCUGCAAUUGCUGUCACUCAUAAUGGCAGCUGUACUGGGCAUUUAUAGUGUGUUUAUUGCCCUAGAUUAAUUUUAAAGUUUUUUAUUUUUUUUUAUGGUACCACAAAAGCAAGAGUUCCAUCAACUUCUUAUAAUAAGUUUAAAUAUCAAUGUAAUAACUGCUAAGGGAUUGCUGUCAGCUAAAAACUAUAUUCAUAUUAUUUUGGAAAGUAGCUUGUGCAGCCUAUUCUCAGAGGUCUUCUGUGGGGGACACUCCAGACCCUCCAUAAACAAUAAUUUCCACCGCUUCAGUGUCUUCACUGUGAAAAAAUUUUUGCCAGCAUUUGACCUGACUUUCCUUUGUUUCAGUGUAGUACUGUCACUUUCUGUCAUCUGGCUGUAGUCCUGAAAUACAAACUCUUCCCUGCCUCUUUCCAGAAGGCUUUUAACAUUUGAAGUCCUUGGUUUUUAUGUCCACUCAUUUUCUUUUCCAGAUGAAAUCACCCCAGUUCAGAUUUCUUUGCAGGUGACAUUUCCCAAAUUUCUGAUCAUUCCCAUUCCUCUCCUUCGGACACUUUUGAAAGCUGCUGUAUCUUUUUUGAAAAGUGAUUUUUUAAUGGGGUCCCUGCCAGCGUGCAGCUGAGCAGCAUGAUCACUGCCUUAUCUUACAAGAAAGCUUCUGUCUGCUCAGCUCCCAACAGCUCAGCCCUCUGGCACCCAGAUAUGCUUCUGAUUUUCUUUCCCACAACUCUGGGGGGAGAGAAAAAGAGAGAUUGUCCCUCAUUCAAAAUCAAGCUUCAGUCUUAUGUUGUCUGCUCCUACCUAGUGGAACCUUCAAAGUUCUUCAGGAGCUGCUUAAGAGGGAAAGAGAGUCCUGGAUGUUAUCUUUCAGAAGAGAAUGGAAACCAAGAUUUUCCCAUGUACAUGAGACAUGUUUGACCCCAUAAAAUUCUCUUUCUCUCUCUGUUUUCCUUCCAAUAUGAAAAUCCCUUAAAAAUGCAAAGUUUGGUUUUAUCUUAUUUUCUAUUUUUUUCUUGUGUAAUUAUUUGCAUUACUAAUUUAAGUGAAUGUGUUAUGAAAGCAUCAUUUUAAACCAAAAAAGCACAGAAAAUCAAAAACUUGAUCUUUUUUUUUUAACCAUUAUUUCUUCCAAAAUGGCUUGCAUCAUUCAGCACAAAAUUAUUUUUCAUCUUCAGGUCAGUAAAAAUGUUGUGAAAAACCCUCACUUAAUUUUUGAGUGAUUGUUCUCCUUCUUGACUUGACACAUUUGAGCAAAAUAACUCAGAAAAUUCUAAUAUAAUUCUGCCACUUAUGUAAAUUCACUCAGAUUUUGCAUCAGGAUAUCUGGUUGGUUUUGUUUGCAGCAGCAUGUUUUGAAUAUUUUUAAAAAAUUGCAUUAUUUUAAUCACAGAAAACACAGACUUAGGUGCCUCACUCCCUUAAAGUUAACAGAAAACUCCCUUGAGCUUCUUUUGGGAAGGGUUGAGCCUUUAAUCUGUGUUUGUUUAAUAAUAAAGUCCCUGAGAUAGGCUGGUAGAUAAGUUUCUUUGAGACAUACUUGUAUCAGUGUUCUCAUAUACCCUGGUUUCUUAGACUGCUUAAGCAGGUACUGAUGAUUUUGCCACAAUGAUGUCCUCCUGAGCCUCUGGUUUGUCUUUCUGUUCCUAUUUCAUGAAGGUAAAUAUUUUGCAGCAGAAGCGUGAAAAUGUAUAUAUUUAUUUAUAUAUAUGUAUAUGUAAAAUGAGUGAUUCAUAAUUAGUCUUCUGUUUUCUUACUCCAUUAAAUUCCAUUCCACAUGAUCAUUUCUGAACAAACAUUUGC